GUCAGUAACCCAGCCCUAAAGGGACUGAGCUUGCAAGAGUAAUCAGGCAAGCUGUGCUGACCAGACCACCUUGAGCUUAGUCUCAUGGUAGCCGUUAUUUAAGUCACGACACCCCGGAAUGCGUAGCCCCUUCGGGGUUCAGCAGUCGCUCAUGGGGGAAACCCCCAAGACCGCGCUGCUUCACUAGUUCCCUGCUCUGUCACUUGCAAUUAAACAGUUUUAAGGUCACUGAAACAGUGUUGCAAGUCUAAAAAGCUUUUAUAACUGGUCGUUCGCGCAGCGUGCCGGAGGCAUCUAGCUAACAUUAC
Molecule: non-coding RNA, 308 nt
Organism: Anabaena sp. 90
Lineage: Bacteria; Bacillati; Cyanobacteriota; Cyanophyceae; Nostocales; Nostocaceae
Rfam family: HNH endonuclease-associated RNA and ORF (HEARO) RNA
Source: Rfam